RNAcentral lists this ribosomal RNA (394 nucleotides) under uncultured eukaryote. Its description in RNAcentral is "partial 18S ribosomal RNA". It matches the Rfam family "Eukaryotic small subunit ribosomal RNA", at positions 592 to 975 of the family's 1831-position model. The record is from RNAcentral.
CAAUAGCGUAUAUUAAAGUUGUUGCAGUUAAAAAGCUCGUAGUUGGAUUUCUGAAUUGAAUAUCCGGUCCGCUCGUCUCUGAUGAGUGCGUACUUAUGGAUAUUGGAUUCAUUUUUUGUGAGGACAUUUAUCUGUCAUUAAGUUGAUGGAUUUAUAGACUUGCAUCGUUUACUGUGAAAAAAUUAGAGUGUUUAAAGCAGGCGUUCGCCCAUUUGAAUACAUUAGCAUGGAAUAAUAAGAUAUGACUUUGGUGGUCUAUUUUGUUGGUUUGCACACCAGAGUAAUGAUUAAUAGGGACAGUUGGGGGCAUUCAUAUUUCAACGUCAGAGGUGAAAUUCUUAGAUCGUUGAAAGAUGACCUUAGGCGAAAGCAUUUACCAUGGAUGUUUUCAUUA